Non-coding RNA from Salvelinus sp. IW2-2015, 333 nucleotides. The record is from RefSeq and is a predicted model, not a curated record. Lineage: Eukaryota; Metazoa; Chordata; Actinopteri; Salmoniformes; Salmonidae.
GGAGCAGAAGGGUCUUAUUCUCACAAUGCUGGUACGCUCUCUCGCGUACUCUGAACUUCCUUAUUGUUUUAGUUUGCUGGGUUACUGUUUCAAGUCAGGGCACCUUCACUCCGCUCUCCAAGUGUCUGUGAUAUAGGUCGCAGUUGUAAUUGAGAACUUGUUCUCAACUGACCUACCUGGUUAAAUAAAGCGUCUUGGAACUCUGAAAUCGGUACAGCCGAUCUGCCAACUUCUGUCUGAGGCGUCCGAAAAGUUUGGACUACACACUAAUAUUACCCAUCUGUGGAAAGGUGUCGCCCAUCUUCCCCAUUAUCCCCUGUGUAUUUAGACCUG